GAUGAACGCUGGCGGCGUGCCUAAUACAUGCAAGUCGAGCGAACAGACGCUGAGCUUGCUCCUCUCACGUUAGCGGCGGACGGGUGAGUCACACGUGGAACACCUACCUAUAUGACUGGGAUCACUUCGGGAAACCGGCUAUUAUCCCGGAUGAUCUCUUGCACCGCAGUGUUCAAUAGUGAGAUACGGUUUUGCUGGCUCUUAUCGCUGCUUAUGGGCCGCAUUAGCUAGUUGGUAAGGUAACGGCUUUCCACGGCAACGAUGCGUAGCCGACCUGUCAGGGUGGUCGGCCACACGAGAACUUGAACACGGUCCAGACUCCUGAGGGAGGCAGCAGUAGGGAAUGGGCCGCAAUGGGCGAAAGCCUGACGGAGCAACGCCGCGUGAGUGGUGAAAGUCUUCGGAGCGGAAAACUGGGUUAUGGGUGAAAAACAAAUGUGGAAGUAACUGUGCACGGCGUGACGGUAACUAAUCAGAAAGCCACGGCUAACUACGUG
This 497-nucleotide ribosomal RNA is filed under the name uncultured bacterium. RNAcentral's name for it is "partial 16S ribosomal RNA". It matches the Rfam family "Bacterial small subunit ribosomal RNA", at positions 28 to 507 of the family's 1533-position model. The record is from RNAcentral.